Molecule: ribosomal RNA, 958 nt
Filed under: uncultured bacterium
Lineage: Bacteria
Description: bacterial SSU rRNA
Rfam family: Bacterial small subunit ribosomal RNA
Source: RNAcentral
UAAUACGGAGGAUUCGAGCGUUAUCCGGAUUUAUUGGGUUUAAAGAGUUCGUAGGCUGAAGAUUAAGUCAGUGGUGAAAUCUCACAGCUCAACUGUGAAACUGCCAUUGAUACUGAUUUUCUUGAAUACGGUUGAGGUAGGCGGAAUACGUUAUGUAGCGGUGAAAUGCUUAGAUAUAACGUAGAACACCAAUUGCGAAGGCAGCUUACUAAGCCGUUAUUGACGCUGAUGAACGAAAGCGUGGGGAGCGAACAGGAUUAGAUACCCUGGUAGUCCACGCCGUAAACGAUGAUUACUCGUUGUGCGCGAUACACAGUGCGCGACCGAGCGAAAGCAUUAAGUAAUCCACCUGGGGAGUACGUUCGCAAGAAUGAAACUCAAAGGAAUUGACGGGGGCCCGCACAAGCGGAGGAACAUGUGGUUUAAUUCGAUGAUACGCGAGGAACCUUACCUGGACUUAAAUGCAGCUUGACCGGCUUAGAAAAUAGGUCUUCUCUUCGGAGCAAGUUACAAGGUGCUGCAUGGUUGUCGUCAGCUCGUGCCGUGAGGUGUCGGGUUAAGUCCCAUAACGAGCGCAACCCCUAUCGUUAGUUGCUAGCAGGUAAUGCUGAGGACUCCAGCGAGACUGCCACCGUAAGGUGAGAGGAAGGUGGGGAUGACGUCAAAUCAGCGCGGCCCUUACGUCCAGGGCUACACACGUGUUACAAUGGUCAGUACAAAGGGCAGCUACCUGGUGACAGGAUGCCAAUCUCUAAAGCUGAUCUCAGUUCGGAUCGGAGUCCGCAACUCGACUCCGUGAAGUUGGAUUCGCUAGUAAUCGCGUAUCAGCAACGACGCGGUGAAUACGUUCCCGGGCCUUGUACACACCGCCCGUCAAGCCAUGGAAGCUGGGGGUGCCUGAAGUUCGUAACCGCAAGGAGCGACCUAGGGUAAAACUGGUAACUGGGGCUAAGUCGUA